RNAcentral lists this ribosomal RNA (253 nucleotides) under uncultured bacterium. RNAcentral describes it as "partial 16S ribosomal RNA". It matches the Rfam family "Bacterial small subunit ribosomal RNA", at positions 524 to 776 of the family's 1533-position model. The record is from RNAcentral.
UACGUAGGGGGCUAGCGUUGUCCGGAAUCAUUGGGCGUAAAGAGCGUGUAGGCGGCUCGGUAAGUUCGCUGUGAAAGUCCAGGGCUCAACCCUGGAAUGCCAGUGGAAACUGUCGAGCUAGAGUCCGGAAGAGGCGAGUGGAAUUCCUGGUGUAGCGGUGAAAUGCGCAGAUAUCAGGAGGAACACCAAUGGCGAAGGCAGCUCGCUGGGACGGUACUGACGCUGAGACGCGAAAGCGUGGGGAGCAAACAGG